CUCGGCUUGUUUCACUCGUGCCGUGAGGUGUUAGGUUAAGUCCUGCAACGAGCGCAACCCCUGUCACUAGUUGCCAUCAUUAAGUUGGGGACUCUAGUGAGACUGCCUACGCAAGUAGAGAGGAAGGUGGGGAUGACGUCAAAUCAUCACGGCCCUUACGCCUUGGGCCACACACGUAAUACAAUGGCCGGUACAGAGGGCAGCUACACAGCGAUGUGAUGCAAAUCUCGAAAGCCGGUCUCAGUUCGGAUUGGAGUCUGCAACUCGACUCUAUGAAGCUGGAAUCGCUAGUAAUCGCGCAUCAGCCAUGGCGCGGUGAAUACGUUCCCGGGCCUUGUACACACCGCCCGUCAAGCCAUGGAAGUCUGGGGUACCUGAAGUCGGUGACCGUAACAGGAGCGCCUAGGGAAAACAC
RNAcentral lists this ribosomal RNA (415 nucleotides) under bacterium 14S113. Its description in RNAcentral is "bacterial SSU rRNA". It matches the Rfam family "Bacterial small subunit ribosomal RNA", at positions 1044 to 1469 of the family's 1533-position model. The record is from RNAcentral.